GGGGGUGCUUGCACCCCGCUGACGAGCGGCGGACGGGUGAGUAAUGCAUAGGAAAUUGCCCAGUAGUGGGGGAUAGCCCGGGGAAACCCGGAUUAAUACCGCAUACGUCCUUCGGGAGAAAGCAGGGGAUCUUCGGACCUUGCGCUAUUGGAUGUGCCUAUGUCGGAUUAGCUAGUUGGUGGGGUAAAGGCCUACCAAGGCGACGAUCCGUAGCUGGUCUGAGAGGAUGAUCAGCCACAUCGGGACUGAGACCCGGCCCGAACUCCUACGGGAGGCAGCAGUGGGGAAUAUUGGACAAUGGGGGCAACCCUGAUCCAGCCAUGCCGCGUGUGUGAAGAAGGCUUUCGGGUUGUAAAGCACUUUCAGUGAGGAGGAAAACCUUAUGGUUAAUACCCAUGAGGCUUGACGUUACUCACAGAAGAAGCACCGGCUAACUCCGUGCCAGCAGCCGCGGUAAUACGGAGGGUGCAAGCGUUAAUCGGAAUUACUGGGCGUAAAGCGCGCGUAGGUGGUUUGAUAAGCGAGAUGUGAAAGCCCCGGGCUUAACCUGGGAACGGCAUUUCGAACUGUCAGGCUAGAGUAUG
This 584-nucleotide ribosomal RNA is filed under the name Marinobacter sp. HOT4F8. Its description in RNAcentral is "bacterial SSU rRNA". It matches the Rfam family "Bacterial small subunit ribosomal RNA", at positions 72 to 650 of the family's 1533-position model. Lineage: Bacteria; Pseudomonadati; Pseudomonadota; Gammaproteobacteria; Pseudomonadales; Marinobacteraceae. The record is from RNAcentral.